RNAcentral lists this ribosomal RNA (442 nucleotides) under uncultured bacterium. Its description in RNAcentral is "partial 16S ribosomal RNA". It matches the Rfam family "Bacterial small subunit ribosomal RNA", at positions 338 to 795 of the family's 1533-position model. The record is from RNAcentral.
CCUACGGGGGGCAGCAGUGGGGAAUAUUGCACAAUGGGUGAAAGCCUGAUGCAGCAACGCCGCGUGAAGGAAGAAGGGUUUCGGCUCGUAAACUUCUAUCAACAGGGACGAAAGAAAUGACGGUACCUGUAUAUGAAGCCCCGGCUAACUACGGGCCAGCAGCCGCGGUAAUACGGGGGAUGCGAGUGUUAUCCGGAUUUAUUGGGGUAAAGGGGGGCGUAGGGGGGAGGCCAAGUCAGCGGUAAAAAUGCGGUGCUCAACGCCGUCGAGCCGUUGAAACUGGCGUUCUUGAGUGGGCGAGAAGUAUGCGGAAUGCGUGGUGUAGCGGUGAAAUGCAUAGAUAUCACGCAGAACUCCGAUUGCGAAGGCAGCAUACCGGCGCCCUACUGACGCUGAGGCACGAAAGCGUGGGUAUCGAACAGGAUUAGAUACCCCUGUAGUC